This 253-nucleotide ribosomal RNA is filed under the name uncultured bacterium. Its description in RNAcentral is "partial 16S ribosomal RNA". It matches the Rfam family "Bacterial small subunit ribosomal RNA", at positions 524 to 776 of the family's 1533-position model. The record is from RNAcentral.
GACAGAGGGUGCAAACGUUGUUCGGAAUUACUGGGCGUAAAGCGUGUGUAGGCGGCGUGUUAAGUCAGCUGUGAAAUCUCCGAGCUUAACUCGGAACGGUCAGCUGAUACUGAUGUGCUAGAGUGCAGAAGGGGCAAUCGGAAUUCUUGGUGUAGCGGUGAAAUGCGUAGAUAUCAAGAGGAACACCUGAGGUGAAGACGGGUUGCUGGGCUGACACUGACGCUGAGGCGCGAAAGCUAGGGUAGCAAACGGG